This 270-nucleotide ribosomal RNA is filed under the name uncultured prokaryote. RNAcentral describes it as "partial 16S ribosomal RNA". It matches the Rfam family "Bacterial small subunit ribosomal RNA", at positions 524 to 794 of the family's 1533-position model. The record is from RNAcentral.
UACGUAGGGGCAAGCGUUGUCCGGAAUUACUGGGCGUAAAGGGUGCGUAGGCGGCCUAAUAAGUCAGAUGUGAAAUACCGAGGCUCAACCUCGGAGGUGCAUUUGAAACUGUUGGGCUUGAGUGCAGGAGAGGAAAGUAGAAUUCCUAGUGUAGCGGUGAAAUGCGUAGAGAUUAGGAGGAACACCAGUGGCGAAGGCGACUUUCUGGACUGUAACUGACGCUGAGGCACGGAAGCGUGGGGAGCAAACAGGAUUAGAUACCCUGGUAGU